This 166-nucleotide unclassified non-coding RNA is filed under the name soil metagenome. RNAcentral describes it as "partial contains 5.8S ribosomal RNA, internal transcribed spacer 2, and large subunit ribosomal RNA". The record is from RNAcentral.
AACGCACGAGACCUGCGGACCUGCGGAGGGAUCAUUAGUGAACGCCCUCACGGGCUUAUAACUAUUCCAAACCUCUGUAAACCGUGCCCUUCGGGGCUAUUUUACAAACAUGGUGUAAUGAACGUCAUAUAUCAUAACAAAACAAAACUUUUAACAAUGGAUCUCU